UACGAAGGGGGCUAGCGUUGCUCGGAAUUACUGGGCGUAAAGGGCGCGUAGGCGGCACUGUUAGUCAGGCGUGAAAUUCCUGGGCUCAACCUGGGGACUGCGCUUGAUACGGCAGAGCUAGAGGAUGGAAGAGGCUCGCGGAAUUCCCAAUGUAGAGGUGAAAUUCGUAGAUAUUGGGAAGAACACCGGUGGCGAAGGCGGCUCACUGGACCGGUACUGACGCUGAUGCGCGAAAGCGUGGGUAGCAAACAGG
This 253-nucleotide ribosomal RNA is filed under the name uncultured bacterium. RNAcentral describes it as "partial 16S ribosomal RNA". It matches the Rfam family "Bacterial small subunit ribosomal RNA", at positions 524 to 776 of the family's 1533-position model. The record is from RNAcentral.